This 425-nucleotide ribosomal RNA is filed under the name uncultured delta proteobacterium. RNAcentral describes it as "partial 16S ribosomal RNA". It matches the Rfam family "Bacterial small subunit ribosomal RNA", at positions 356 to 774 of the family's 1533-position model. Lineage: Bacteria; Deltaproteobacteria. The record is from RNAcentral.
GGGGAAUAUUGCGCAAUGGGGGAACCCCUGAGCCACGGCCCCGGGGGGGGGGAGAAAGGCUUUCGGUUGUUAACCCCCGUUCGGGAGGGAGAACCCCCCAGGGUCGGAUUGGGGCCUGGGGCGAACGUUCUUCCCAAGGGAGGACCGGGCAAAUCCGUGGCAGCAGCCGCGGUAAUACGGAGGGUGCAAGCGUUAAUCGGAAUCACUGGGCGAAAGCGCGCGUAGGCGGCUUUUUAAGUCGGACGUGAAAGCCCUCGGCUCAACCGGGGAAUUGCGUUCGAAACUGGGAGGCUUGAGUCCUGGAGAGGGUGGCGGAAUUCCGGGUGUAGGACUGAAAUCCGUAGAUAUCCGGAGGAACACCGGUGGCGAAGGCGGCCACCUGGACAGGUACUGACGCUGAGGCGCGAAAGCGUGAGGAGCAAACA